AAGUCGUAACAAGGUUUCCGUAGGUGAACCUGCGGAAGGAUCAUUGCCUGAGGGCGCGAGGCCGAGUGUGACCACGUCGCCGUCAAAAAGCGACGGUUCGCGGAGCCCGCGCAUUAUACUCAUGACCCAUGUGAACCAAAGUGACGUGACGGUGGCGUCGUUGCCGCGCGUUCGCGCGCGUGCAUCGACCCUCCAUCUCUCCUUUUUUAUUACCAACCACGUUUACCUUGCUUCUCUGACUGAGAUUGAAGCGACCUUAAAACCGUCGCGACCAAACCAAACAUAUCACAACUUUUAACAACGGAUAUCUUGGCUCGC
This 318-nucleotide unclassified non-coding RNA is filed under the name fungal sp. RNAcentral describes it as "partial internal transcribed spacer region". The stretch from base 1 to 46 matches the Rfam family "Eukaryotic small subunit ribosomal RNA", at positions 1786 to 1831 of the family's 1831-position model. The record is from RNAcentral. Lineage: Eukaryota; Fungi.